AGCUGCAUUGCGGGGCAAUUACUUCCUUGGCAGUUGGAUGUAGCGCAGAGCGCAGCUUACUGCCAAAGGAGAUUUGCCCAGCAAUUCACCU
This 91-nucleotide microRNA precursor is filed under the name Ananas comosus (pineapple). Its description in RNAcentral is "mir-399 microRNA precursor family". It matches the Rfam family "mir-399 microRNA precursor family". From Rfam's summary of the family: mir-399 was identified in both Arabidopsis thaliana and Oryza sativa computationally and was later experimentally verified. mir-399 is thought to target mRNAs coding for a phosphatase transporter. The mature sequence is excised from the 3' arm of the hairpin. The record is from Rfam by way of RNAcentral. Lineage: Eukaryota; Viridiplantae; Streptophyta; Magnoliopsida; Poales; Bromeliaceae.